GAUGAACGCUAGCUACAGGCUUAACACAUGCAAGUCGAGGGGAAACGGCGAAGGGUGCUUGCACUCUCCGGACGUCGACCGGCGCACGGGUGAGUAACGCGUAUCCAACCUUCCCAUGACCGGGGGAUAACCUGCCGAAAGGCAGACUAAUACCCCAUGGCCUUCACUGACGGCAUCAUAUGUGAAGUAAAGAUUCAUCGGUCAUGGAUGGGGAUGCGUCUGAUUAGCUUGUUGGCGGGGAAACGGCCCACCAAGGCGACGAUCAGUAGGGGUUCUGAGAGGAAGGUCCCCCACAUUGGAACUGAGACACGGUCCAAACUCCUACGGGAGGCAGCAGUGAGGAAUAUUGGUCAAUGGGCGCAAGCCUGAACCAGCCAAGUAGCGUGCAGGAUGACGGCCCUAUGGGUUGUAAACUGCUUUUGUACGGGGAUAAAACGGCGGACGUGUCCGUCCUUGCAGGUACCGUACGAAUAAGGACCGGCUAAUUCCGUGCCAGCAGCCGCGGUAAUACGGAAGGUCCGGGCGUUAUCCGGAUUUAUUGGGUUUAAAGGGAGCGUAGGCCGGGGAUUAAGUGUGUUGUGAAAUGUAGACGCUCAACGUCUGACUUGCAGCGCAUACUGGUUCCCUUGAGUACGCACAACGUUGGCGGAAUUCGUCGUGUAGCGGUGAAAUGCUUAGAUAUGACGAAGAACUCCGAUUGCGAAGGCAGCUGACGGGAGCGCAACUGACGCUUAAGCUCGAAGGUGCGGGUAUCGAACAGGAUUAGAUACCCUGGUAGUCCGCACGGUAAACGAUGGAUGCCCGCUGUUGGUACCUGGUAUCAGCGGCUAAGCGAAAGCAUUAAGCAUCCCACCUGGGGAGUACGCCGGCAACGGUGAAACUCAAAGGAAUUGACGGGGGCCCGCACAAGCGGAGGAACAUGUGGUUUAAUUCGAUGAUACGCGAGGAACCUUACCCGGGGCUUGAAUUGCAAGAGAACGAUACAAGAGAUGUUGAGGGUCCUUCGGGACUCCUGUGAAGGUGCUGCAUGGUUGUCGUCAGCUCGUGCCGUGAGGUGUCGGCCUAAGUGCCAUACCGAGGCGCACCCCCUCUCUUCAGUUGCCCAUCAAGGUAUUGCCUGGCACCUCUUGGAAACCCGGUGCCACCCUUAGGGGUUUAGGAAAGGGUGGGGAGUUACGUUAAAUUCCCCACGGGCCUUUACUUUCGGGGGCCUCACCU
RNAcentral lists this ribosomal RNA (1218 nucleotides) under Prevotella sp. RNAcentral's name for it is "bacterial SSU rRNA". It matches the Rfam family "Bacterial small subunit ribosomal RNA", at positions 28 to 1223 of the family's 1533-position model. RNAcentral also lists the same sequence under 2 other names. The record is from RNAcentral. Lineage: Bacteria; Pseudomonadati; Bacteroidota; Bacteroidia; Bacteroidales; Prevotellaceae.